AAUCACAGUCUGUCUGGAGCAGAGAGAAUGCUACUGUGGUGUUGUCACUUUCUUCAAUCAAUCACGUAUCUCAACUUUGAUUCAUAUAUGCUGAGUUUCCUCUGAUAUGCUGAAUUUUGUCCAAAAGAAAUCUGGAGCUGCCUUUUCUGAUAUGAACAGAUGUUUCAGCAGAAUGUAGGAAAGGGUAAGAUCUUUCUAUUAAAGUGUUCAGAAUGUAACUUGUGACCAAGAUGGAGUAACAAGGACAGG
RNAcentral lists this long non-coding RNA (249 nucleotides) under Felis catus (domestic cat). RNAcentral's name for it is "lncRNA (ENSFCAG00000052179.1)". The record is from RNAcentral. Lineage: Eukaryota; Metazoa; Chordata; Mammalia; Carnivora; Felidae.